GUGCUCACUUUGGCAGCACAUAUACUAAAAUUUGAAUAGUACUGAGAUUGAAAUGGUCCCUGCAGAAGGACGACAUGCAAAUUCGUGAAAUGUUUCAUACUUAU
Cavia porcellus (domestic guinea pig) is the source of this 104-nucleotide small nuclear RNA. NCBI's taxonomy places the organism in Eukaryota, Metazoa, Chordata, Mammalia, Rodentia, Caviidae. The record is from Ensembl.